GUACACUCCUACGGGAGGCAGCAGUGGGGAAUAUUGGACAAUGGGCGCAAGCCUGAUCCAGCCAUGCCGCGUGAGUGAUGCAGGCCCUAGGGUUGUAAAGCUCUUUCACCGGUGAAGAUAAUGACGGUAACCGGAGAAGAAGCCCCGGCUACCUUCGUGCCAGCAGCCGCGGUAAUACGAAGGGGGCUAGCGUUGUUCGGAUUUACUGGGCGUAAAGCGCACGUAGGCGGACUAUUAAGUCAGGGGUGAAAUCCCGGGGCUCAACCCCGGAACUGCCUUUGAUACUGGUAGUCUUGAGUUCGAGAGAGGUGAGUGGAAUUCCGAGUGUAGAGGUGAAAUUCGUAGAUAUUCGGAGGAACACCAGUGGCGAAGGCGGCUCACUGGCUCGAUACUGACGCUGAGGUGCGAAAGCGUGGGGAGCAAACAGGAUUAGAUACCCGGGUAGUCCC
RNAcentral lists this ribosomal RNA (449 nucleotides) under uncultured organism. RNAcentral's name for it is "partial 16S ribosomal RNA". It matches the Rfam family "Bacterial small subunit ribosomal RNA", at positions 331 to 797 of the family's 1533-position model. The record is from RNAcentral.